RNAcentral lists this ribosomal RNA (448 nucleotides) under uncultured bacterium. Its description in RNAcentral is "bacterial SSU rRNA". It matches the Rfam family "Bacterial small subunit ribosomal RNA", at positions 355 to 822 of the family's 1533-position model. The record is from RNAcentral.
UCAAGAAACUUCCACAAUGGGCGAAAGCCUGAUGGAGCGACGUCGCGUGAUGGACGAAGUGCUUCGGCACGUAAACAUCUUUUUAUGUGGGAUGAAAUUAUUGACAGUACCACAUGAAUAAGGGGCUCCUAACUCUGUGCCAGCAGGAGCGGUAAUACAGAGGCCCCAAGCGUUAUCCGGAAUCACUGGGCGUAAAGGGUGUCGAGGCGGUUGUAUUAGUCGUUCGUAAAAUCUACGAGCUUAACUUGUAGGCGGCGAACGAAACGGUACGACUUGAGGUUUGGGGAGGUGCGUGGAACUCACGGUGUAGGGGUGAAAUCCGUUGAUAUCGUGGGGAACACCAAAGGCGAAGGCAGCGCACUGGCCAAAAUCUGACGCUCACACACGAAAGCUAGGGUAGCGAAGAGGAUUAGAUACCCCCGUAGUCCCUGAGCGGGCUGGCAAGGCG